This is a long non-coding RNA of Misgurnus anguillicaudatus (oriental weatherfish), 1451 nucleotides long. RefSeq lists it as uncharacterized. The record is from RefSeq and is a predicted model, not a curated record. NCBI's taxonomy places the organism in Eukaryota, Metazoa, Chordata, Actinopteri, Cypriniformes, Cobitidae.
AUGCACGGGACCGGAAGUCAUCAUUACAGUUACUAUGUAAGUGCAGAUUGUUUUAUUCCGUGUGGAACUAUAAAGUGUUUUGGAGGCAUCUGCUGUUCUGUGUGUUUAUCAGACAACUAUAAACUUUAAUAGAGCAACAUGAAACAGUCAAAACUAUCCGCUGGAAAGCGUCUAACAAAACCGAUUCUUUUUGGCACACUGCUCGUAGGCUUGGCAACAGCGUUUUUCAACAGGCAUGUGUUCAUGGAGGAUCUUGCAGAGCUCAGGGAGCAGGAGCGAGCCCGUAAUGACAUCAAACGACAGGAGGUGCUGGAAAGGAGGCAGAGACAAAUAGAUGAACUCGCAAAGAAGAGUGGAGGGGGCAGUUGAGAUCUGAGCACCCACAUCUGAUUGGACAACUGCAAAAACCUAAUGCUGAAGAAGAAAACAUUGAACAUUUUUGUUAUGAGUAUUGCUAUUGCUUUCUACUUAUCAAAUGAUUUGACAGGCUUUUUAUAUACAGCAUCAAAAAGUUGAAGUGUGAAAUUGCAAGAGUUCAAGAAUCUUCACUGGUCUGGUUGUUUUUGAGACCUGCUUGCAUGUCGUUGCAUUAAAGCCUUAUUACAUUUAGUAAAAUACAAUACAUUUUCAUUGAUAAUACAAUACAGAAUAAGUCUGGAAGUCUAAGUGAGAACACUACUGUUUAUUUGAGCACGCAAAAGUAACAAAGUGCAUCUAUUCAAACCAUACUAUAUGAAGAUUUAUCAUUUACCACCAGGGAAAUCUGUGAAAAAUUAAAGUGUGGACUUUAUAACAAAUACUAGAAGGCUGGGAAACCAACCUGAGACUUACAGGCAAAUGUGUCAUAUUAGUCAGUCGAUUGUCAGUAAUACCAAGACAGUGUUUAAAUAGUAAACGUGCUUUAACUAUCCAUAUCAUCUUUUCUGUCCAAAUUCUUGCUUUGUGACACUUGCACCAGUGUGUUUCAAAUAGGAGGGCCAAUAUGAGGCGUGCAUUAUUAAUAUUAAAUAUUUUGCUAUAAAACGGAAACCAGUUUCUGUCACAUUUAAGUCAAAUUUACACAUUUUCUUCCUUUAAUAUACAGCAUAUAUAUCAUAUCUACUUUCAAACGCACUUAAUGUGUUGCACAACAAAUAUUAUUGAUUUCCUUCGGGUUUCACAAAUUUAGCAAUAUAUAUAUAGCAAUAAAUACAUUUUUAGAAUGUGUUAAAGGACAUUACAUUCGUAGAGAACAGAGAAUGUGUACAUAUAAGUUCAUAUCUAUACAAACAGCAACCAUAAAUAUAUUAGAUGGGUAUAUACAUGUUUAAGAACUAUUAACAAUUACUUAACUAGUAGUAGUGUAGCACACAGCAGCAGAGGAAAUGCAUAAAGUGCUGCUGUUAACCCUGUUGUAACCCACUGUAACCCAGACAGUCGGUAUCAGUAGUGUAUUAAAAGAAAUUGCUAUA